Molecule: ribosomal RNA, 174 nt
Filed under: uncultured endophytic bacterium
Lineage: Bacteria
Description: partial 16S ribosomal RNA
Rfam family: Bacterial small subunit ribosomal RNA
Source: RNAcentral
CCUACGGGAGGCAGCAGUGGGGAAUAUUGCACAAUGGGCGAAAGCCUGAUGCAGCGACGCCGCGUGAGGGAUGACGGCCUUCGGGUUGUAAACCUCUUUCAGCAGGGAAGAAGCGCAAGUGACGGUACCUGCAGAAGAAGCGCCGGCUAACUACGUGCCAGCAGCCGCGGUAAU